GAGAUAGAGGUUGCGGGGGACAAGAGUAGGCACACCGACGCAUCAGGAAGCGGAAGACGUGUGAGAAAAGGGGACUCCGCCGAAGGGUCCGGGACCUGAGACCGGAUUCCUGGGCAUGCGGCCAAGAACCGUAUGACUGUCAUCGAGAGGUGGGGCGCUAUCCG
RNAcentral lists this non-coding RNA (164 nucleotides) under bovine gut metagenome. Its description in RNAcentral is "Lysine riboswitch". It matches the Rfam family "Lysine riboswitch aptamer". From Rfam's summary of the family: Riboswitches are metabolite binding domains within certain messenger RNAs that serve as precision sensors for their corresponding targets. Allosteric rearrangement of mRNA structure is mediated by ligand binding, and this results in modulation of gene expression. The record is from RNAcentral.